Molecule: long non-coding RNA, 208 nt
Organism: Ochotona princeps (American pika)
Lineage: Eukaryota; Metazoa; Chordata; Mammalia; Lagomorpha; Ochotonidae
Exons: 3
Source: RefSeq, a predicted model, not a curated record
UCCUCUCAGGUGAGGAAGCUGGAUUUUGUGUUCUGUUUCAGGUGACCAGGAACCAUGUGUUCAUCGACAGAUACCAGAACUGCCAGAAUUGACACCUGAAUCAGAGGGCUGUCUUCGGUGUGUUGUGCUGUGAGACGAGGUGGAAGACCUUAGAGAUGAAGUAGUAGUGAUCCAGUACUUACACAAACAGUUCCAGAAUGUAUGAUGU